GGGGAAUAUUGGACAAUGGGCGAAAGCCUGAUCCAGCCAUGCCGCGUGUGUGAAGAAGGUCUUCGGAUUGUAAAGCACUUUAAGUUGGGAGGAAGGGCAGUAAGUUAAUACCCUGUUCGGAUGACGGUACCGUCAUAAGAAGCACCGGCUAACUACGUUCCAGCAGCCGCGGUAAUACGUAGGGUGCGAGCGUUAAUCGGAAUUACUGGGCGUAAAGCGUGCGCAGGCGGUUGAUUAAGACAGGCGUGAAAUCCCCGGGCUUAACCUGGGAACUGCGCUUGUGACUGGUCGGCUAGAGUACGGCAGAGGGGGGUGGAAUUCCACGUGUAGCAGUGAAAUGCGUAGAGAUGUGGAGGAACACCGAUGGCGAAGGCAGCCCCCUGAGCCGAGACUGACGCUCAUGCACGAAAGCGUGGGUAGCAAACA
RNAcentral lists this ribosomal RNA (426 nucleotides) under uncultured beta proteobacterium. Its description in RNAcentral is "bacterial SSU rRNA". It matches the Rfam family "Bacterial small subunit ribosomal RNA", at positions 356 to 774 of the family's 1533-position model. The record is from RNAcentral. Lineage: Bacteria; Pseudomonadati; Pseudomonadota; Betaproteobacteria.